GUGCUUGCUUUGGCAGCACAUAUACUAAAAUUGGAACGAUACAGAGAAGAUUAGCAUGGCCCCUGCACAAGGAUGACACGCAAAUUCGUGAAGCAAAGUAAGAGAAC
This 107-nucleotide small nuclear RNA is filed under the name Vombatus ursinus (common wombat). Lineage: Eukaryota; Metazoa; Chordata; Mammalia; Diprotodontia; Vombatidae. The record is from RNAcentral.